Molecule: long non-coding RNA, 1154 nt
Filed under: Monodelphis domestica (gray short-tailed opossum)
Lineage: Eukaryota; Metazoa; Chordata; Mammalia; Didelphimorphia; Didelphidae
Description: lncRNA (ENSMODG00000048764.1)
Source: RNAcentral
UUUCUGUAAUUUAUAAUGUAUAUGUAUAUCUAUCAUAUAUCCCUAUAAAAAGAGCUUUUUUGUAUCACCUACUAUGUGCCAAGCACUGUGUACUAAGGACAUUUAACAAAUAUUAUGUGACUCAUUUCAUUGUUCAUACAUGCAUCUACUCAUACUUACCAGCACUUGCCCACCUAUACGCACAUAUGUAUGCAUACGUAUAUAACUACAUAAUACUGUUGUUAUGGUAAGUUUAUCAAGGUGUCUUUAGGAUGAAUUUCCUCUACAUCUAUCUUUCGCACAAUAGGACAAUCAUUUUAAUAGUAGCCAAAAUAAUAUUGGAUAACAUCUCUAGGCAGGAGCUUCUAGACAUUUAAUUAAAUCCUUGAGUUUAUUGCUGGUGGUGUUUGGUUUUUUUUUUUUUUGGUUGUUUCUUUGUUUUUUUCAAGAUCAUUAGCUUGAUUCAGAAUCCAGAAAACCCUCUUAAAGUUUGGUCCAUAAGCAAGUCCCAGUUUCAGUCAAAGCAGUACUAUCAGUCUUUUGGCACUGAAAUAAUUCCUCAUUGUACUUGGUCUUCUCCUUCCAUGUAAUUAUCCUUAUCUGGACCCCCAUGGUAGCAUUGUCUUAUCUCAGAAAUUGUGAUUUUUUAUUGUUUAACAUAUAAGAAUUUUGAGACUGAAAUUUAUUUGGUGAGUGAAACUUUUUUUUUUAAUUUUAUAACAUUUUUCCUCUCAAAUGCAUUUCUACAGGAAAAUAAUGCUGACAAGGUCACCAAGCAAUGUCAUAAUAAAGGAAUGCCUCACCUUAAUCUGGCCCAGUAUCUGACUUCUACAUCUGGCUAGCCUGUGCCUAAGAGAAAAUGUCAGUGCAGAAUCCAUGGCAAGUUUUCCUACUUUGAAGAACCCCUAACCAUAUGAACUGCUUACUUUUUGAAGGAGUCUAUUUCAUUUGUGAAUAGCAUUGAUCAAAUGGGAGAACCAGCAUGGCCCAAGGAAAAAAUGCAGAAUUUGUAGUUGGGAGAUAUGGAUUUAGUUUCCUUCUCAUACAAUUAUUGCAUGGAUCUAGGAAUAUAAAUAUCCACAACAAUUCCAAAGAACUCAUGAAGGAAAAGGCUAUUCACCAUCAUUGAAGGGACUGAUGGAGUCUUAAUAAAGAUUGAAGCUUCCAUUGAAGCA